This 331-nucleotide ribosomal RNA is filed under the name Escherichia coli. RNAcentral describes it as "bacterial SSU rRNA". It matches the Rfam family "Bacterial small subunit ribosomal RNA", at positions 1 to 328 of the family's 1533-position model. The record is from RNAcentral. Lineage: Bacteria; Pseudomonadati; Pseudomonadota; Gammaproteobacteria; Enterobacterales; Enterobacteriaceae.
AAAUUGAAGAGUUUGAUCAUGGCUCAGAUUGAACGCUGGCGGCAGGCCUAACACAUGCAAGUCGAACGGUAACAGGAAACAGCUUGCUGUUUCGCUGACGAGUGGCGGACGGGUGAGUAAUGUCUGGGAAACUGCCUGAUGGAGGGGGAUAACUACUGGAAACGGUAGCUAAUACCGCAUAACGUCGCAAGACCAAAGAGGGGGACCCUCGGGCCUCUUGCCAUCGGAUGUGCCCAGAUGGGAUUAGCUAGUAGGUGGGGUAACGGCUCACCUAGGCGACGAUCCCUAGCUGGUCUGAGAGGAUGACCAGCCACACUGGAACUGAGACACG